GGAGAGAUAGCGAAGAGGCUAAACGCGGCGGCCUGUAAAUCCGCUGCUUCGGGUUCGGGGGUUCGAAUCCCUCUCUCUCCA
RNAcentral lists this transfer RNA (81 nucleotides) under Streptococcus pneumoniae. RNAcentral describes it as "tRNA-Tyr". It matches the Rfam family "tRNA". From Rfam's summary of the family: Transfer RNA (tRNA) molecules are approximately 80 nucleotides in length. The record is from RNAcentral. Lineage: Bacteria; Bacillati; Bacillota; Bacilli; Lactobacillales; Streptococcaceae.